GGAGAGUUGUCCGAGCGGUUGAAGGUGCAACACUCGAAAUGUUGUGUGGGGAAACCCACCUAGGGUUCGAAUCCCUAACUCUCCGCCA
RNAcentral lists this transfer RNA (88 nucleotides) under Clostridiales bacterium. RNAcentral describes it as "tRNA-Ser". It matches the Rfam family "tRNA". From Rfam's summary of the family: Transfer RNA (tRNA) molecules are approximately 80 nucleotides in length. Their secondary structure includes four short double-helical elements and three loops (D, anti-codon, and T loops). Lineage: Bacteria; Bacillati; Bacillota; Clostridia; Eubacteriales. The record is from RNAcentral.